GGUAGUAACCUAUUUCUUCAAUAGUGGUUAGCGUGUCGUUCUUAUAAUGCGAAAGUCGCGAGUUCAAGUCUCGCCAGGAUCA
Molecule: transfer RNA, 82 nt
Filed under: Rhinocladiella mackenziei CBS 650.93
Lineage: Eukaryota; Fungi; Ascomycota; Eurotiomycetes; Chaetothyriales; Herpotrichiellaceae
Description: tRNA-Ile (TAT) (tRNA-Ile-TAT-1-1)
Source: RNAcentral